This 448-nucleotide ribosomal RNA is filed under the name uncultured bacterium. Its description in RNAcentral is "bacterial SSU rRNA". It matches the Rfam family "Bacterial small subunit ribosomal RNA", at positions 329 to 794 of the family's 1533-position model. The record is from RNAcentral.
CGCCAGACUCCUACGGGAGGCAGCAGUGGGGAAUAUUGCACAAUGGGGGAAACCCUGAUGCAGCAACGCCGCGUGAGUGAAGAAGUAUUUCGGUAUGUAAAGCUCUAUCAGCAGGGAAGAAAAUGACAGUACCUGACUAAGAAGCCCCGGCUAACUACGUGCCAGCAGCCGCGGUAAUACGUAGGGGGCAAGCGUUAUCCGGAUUUACUGGGUGUAAAGGGAGCGCAGGCGGCGCGUUAAGCCUGGUGUGAAAGCCCGCGGCCCAACCGCGGGACUGCAUUGGGAACUGGCGCGCUGGAGUGCCGGAGGGGUAGGCGGAAUUCCUAGUGUAGCGGUGAAAUGCGUAGAUAUUAGGAGGAACACCAGUGGCGAAGGCGGCCUGCUGGACAGUAACUGACGUUGAGGCUCGAAAGCGUGGGGAGCAAACAGGAUUAGAUACCCGAGUAAA